Long non-coding RNA from Suricata suricatta (meerkat), 618 nucleotides. RefSeq lists it as uncharacterized. Lineage: Eukaryota; Metazoa; Chordata; Mammalia; Carnivora; Herpestidae. The record is from RefSeq and is a predicted model, not a curated record. The transcript is spliced from 3 exons.
UGCUGGUGGUCAUAGCACAGUAGCUGCAAAUAUUUCCUGAGAACCUGCAAUGCAUCAGCCACCAUGCCAUCCUGUUAGACAGACUCCACAACAAUCCCGAGUGGACACUGAAGCUACUGGAACUUAGACAAUGGAACCAUCAUUCCCGAUGGGCAUGUGGAUCUGGUUCACAUGAACCAUACCGCCAGCCCCCGCCAUGUGACUGCUGUAGAGAGGCUUAGCAAGGUGAUCGAACAUGAAGCCAGCCACCACUUCCUGAAUCUGAAGCCAGCUGUCACUUACUGGGGUCCGCUGUUCCUGGAGCCACCAUAGCACUAGAGCUACGAAAGUAUUUUCCUUUGCACAAAAGGAUUCUGAAUACAAUCUUGCUGAUAAUCAGGAAGACGGCCCUCUCCACAUUUGUUACCUGGCCUCAUCUGUGACAGGUUUGCUAUGGUAAUGACUUUUUCACGGCAGGCAUUCAGUAUUGUGCUUGUUUCACAAACUUCCUUCACUGCAUUUUCCAGCCUGGUGCCCAGGGUUAGGCUUCUCCAUGCCAAGAUUUCUGAAAAUUAAUAAAUCUACUGCCAUAAUCCUGACUGCUUCAACUGACAAAUUUAAUAAAUGACAGGAUGCAAA